RNAcentral lists this ribosomal RNA (492 nucleotides) under uncultured bacterium. RNAcentral describes it as "partial 16S ribosomal RNA". It matches the Rfam family "Bacterial small subunit ribosomal RNA", at positions 29 to 507 of the family's 1533-position model. The record is from RNAcentral.
AGUGAACGCUGGCGGUAGGCCUAACACAUGCAAGUCGAACGGCAGCACAGUAAGAGCUUGCUCUUACGGGUGGCGAGUGGCGGACGGGUGAGGAAUACAUCGGAAUCUACUUUUUCGUGGGGGAUAACGUAGGGAAACUUACGCUAAUACCGCAUACGACCUACGGGUGAAAGCAGGGGAUCUUCGGACCUUGCGCGAUUGAAUGAGCCGAUGUCGGAUUAGCUAGUUGGCGGGGUAAAGGCCCACCGGGGCGACGAUCCGUAGCUGGUCUGAGAGGAUGAUCAGCCACACUGGAACUGAGACACGGUCCAGACUCCUACGGGAGGCAGCAGUGGGGAAUAUUGGACAAUGGGCGCAAGCCUGAUCCAGCCAUACCGCGUGGGUGAAGAAGGCCUUCGGGUUGUAAAGCCCUUUUGUUGGGAAAGAAAAGCAGCAGGUUAAUACCCCGCUGUUCUGACGGUACCCAAAGAAUAAGCACCGGCUAACUUCGUG